CCUACGGGAGGCUGCAGUGGGGGAUAUUGCACAAUGGGGGGAACCCUGAUGCAGCGACGCCGCGUGGGUGAAGAAGCGCCUCGGCGCGUAAAGCCCUGUCAGCAGGGAAGAAAAUGACGGUACCUGAAGAAGAAGCCCCGGCUAACUACGUGCCAGCAGCCGCGGUAAUAGGUAGGGGGCAAGCGUUAUCCGGAUUUACUGGGUGUAAAGGGGGCGCAGACGGCGAUGCAAGCCAGGAGUGAAAGCCCGGGGCGCAACCCCGGGACUGCUCUUGGAACUGCGUGGCGGGAGUGCAGGAGGGGCAGGCGGAAUUCCUGGUGUAGCGGUGAAAUGCGUAGAUAUCAGGAGGAACACCGGUGGCGAAGGCGGCCUGCUGGACUGCAACUGACGUUGAGGCCCGAAAGCGUGGGGAGCAAACAGGAUUAGAUACCCCGGUAGUC
Molecule: ribosomal RNA, 440 nt
Filed under: uncultured bacterium
Lineage: Bacteria
Description: partial 16S ribosomal RNA
Rfam family: Bacterial small subunit ribosomal RNA
Source: RNAcentral